This is an unclassified non-coding RNA of Papio anubis (olive baboon), 148 nucleotides long. It matches the Rfam family "Metazoan signal recognition particle RNA". Rfam says of the family: The signal recognition particle (SRP) is a universally conserved ribonucleoprotein. It is involved in the co-translational targeting of proteins to membranes. The eukaryotic SRP consists of a 300-nucleotide 7S RNA and six proteins: SRPs 72, 68, 54, 19, 14, and 9. The record is from Ensembl. Lineage: Eukaryota; Metazoa; Chordata; Mammalia; Primates; Cercopithecidae.
GCCAGGUGUCGUGGUGGGCACCUGUAAUCCCAGCUACUCGGGAGGCUGAGGCAGGAGAAUAGCUUGAACCCAGGAGGCAGAGGUUGCAGUGAGCCAAGAUUACGCCACUGCACUCCAGCCUGGGUGACAGAGCCAGACUCUGUCUCAA